GGGCUAGUGGCGCAGCCAGGUAGCGCGGCAGGCUUUUAACCUGAAGCUCGCGGGUUCGAACGGCGUAGACGAUUCGUGACGCUUGAAAAUCCCGCCUAGCCCGCCA
This 106-nucleotide transfer RNA is filed under the name Candidatus Thorarchaeota archaeon. RNAcentral describes it as "tRNA-Lys". It matches the Rfam family "tRNA". From Rfam's summary of the family: Transfer RNA (tRNA) molecules are approximately 80 nucleotides in length. Lineage: Archaea; Promethearchaeati; Candidatus Thorarchaeota. The record is from RNAcentral.